UUGCUUCUGCAACAGGUUUACUAAAAUUAGAACCAUAAGGAGAUUAGCAUGGUCCCUAUGCAAGGAUGACAUGAAAAUUUGUUAAGCAUUCCAUAUGACA
Small nuclear RNA from Monodelphis domestica (gray short-tailed opossum), 100 nucleotides. NCBI's taxonomy places the organism in Eukaryota, Metazoa, Chordata, Mammalia, Didelphimorphia, Didelphidae. The record is from Ensembl.